GUGUCUGUAGUGUAGCGGUUAUCACGUCCGCUUUACACGCGGAAUGUCUCAGGUUCGAUCCUGGCAGACACA
RNAcentral lists this transfer RNA (72 nucleotides) under Centruroides sculpturatus (bark scorpion). Its description in RNAcentral is "tRNA-Val". Lineage: Eukaryota; Metazoa; Arthropoda; Arachnida; Scorpiones; Buthidae. The record is from RNAcentral.